Unclassified non-coding RNA from Chelonoidis abingdonii (Abingdon island giant tortoise), 166 nucleotides. Lineage: Eukaryota; Metazoa; Chordata; Testudines; Testudinidae. The record is from Ensembl.
CUAACAGCCCUGGAAAUGGAAGAGCUCUGUACAUAUACAGAACAGGUAGAGCAUAGCUCAAAUUCAGUGCAAGCUUCUCCACAUUGUCCUGUUAAUGUACCUCAACUCUGACUUGCUGUGAUGGGACCUUAUCCAGCCUUCUUUGACCCCUUAGUGUAGAGAUCAG